Molecule: ribosomal RNA, 473 nt
Filed under: uncultured Aminicenantes bacterium
Lineage: Bacteria; Candidatus Aminicenantota
Description: bacterial SSU rRNA
Rfam family: Bacterial small subunit ribosomal RNA
Source: RNAcentral
GGGGCCCGCACAAGCGGUGGAGCAUGUGGUUUAAUUCGACGCUACGCGAAGAACCUUACCUGGGCUUGAACUGCUGGUGGUAGAAGCCCGAAAGGGUAACGACCCGGAGCAAUCCGGGAGCCAGUAGAGGUGCUGCAUGGCUGUCGUCAGCUCGUGUCGUGAGAUGUUGGGUUAAGUCCCGCAACGAGCGCAACCCUUACCCUUAGUUGCCAGCGGGUAAUGCCGGGCACUCUAAGGGGACCGCCCCGGAUAACGGGGAGGAAGGCGGGAUGACGUCAAGUCAGCAUGGCCCUUAUGUCCAGGGCUACACACGUGCUACAAUGGGCGAUACAGAGGGAAGCAAGGCCGCAAGGUAGAGCUAAUCCCUAAAGUCGUCCUCAGUUCGGAUUGCAGGCUGCAACUCGCCUGCAUGAAGUCGGAAUCGCUAGUAAUCGCGGAUCAGCUACGCCGCGGUGAAUACGUUCUCGGGCCUU